UUUCAAACCCUGGUUUCUCUCUCUGUUUGCUUUCUCUUUCUUCUUUGUGAGACCAACAACAAGAAAUUGAAGCUUUCGGGAAUCAAUCCAAGCCUUCAGUCUUUUCUUAUCGAGCUAAGACAACACAACAAACACACUUGAGCCGUUUUCAGUUUGUUGUUCUUCUCUCAUCGUCUUACAGUCUAGGGUUUUGCUUUGUUCAUCCUCUUUGAUGAACGAAAUGUGGAUUUUGUUGCUGAUUAUUGUGUAAUAUACAUCAUGUUUGCUGAGUCAUUGUUGUUCGGAUUAGAUCUGUUUUGCACUUUAGGGUGUUUUAGAGAGAGAGAGAGAUGACGGGGAUGGUGAUGCUAACAAGAGGAGGAGGAGGCGGUGGUGAAAAUGCAGCUAAGGAAGAACAGAACCAUCCUUCAAAUCCCUUUUUAGAUCUGAUACAGAACCCUAAUAUAUUCUUAAGUAUUCUUUCCAUCUAGGGUUUCAAGAUCUGCAUUUAGGGUUGUGAUGAUGACGGUAGUCAUCAGUUCGGUUCCUACUACCUCCAUCAUCCGCUGAUUUCAUCUUCAUUGAUUUCAUCUUGAUUCUGCCUACCACUUUUUCAAUAUCAGGAAUCAUCAGAAACCCUCAUCUUUCUGUCUGCAACUCCCGCCGGAUUCUUCGUUUUACAGAACCUCAAAUGUCAAUCAGAUUUAGUAGGCUGCAAAUCUAGGUUGCAUAUGGGAAGAUUUGUUGGAUGACACUCGCCCCCUGAUAGUGCAGAAACAUUAACAAAUGCUGGAAGUAAAGAUCCCUUUUAUGGUGAUAAUUCGCCUUCUAUGGACACUUGAGUACCCGUAUGCUAAAAGAAGGUAUAUCAAGUCAUUUGAAACCUUAAUUUCGAAGCUAAGACAUCAAUUAAAGCUCAUCUGAGGAAACGUCAACAACCUGUUCGGGUCACAGAUGGUCAAGAAUAGAAGCUAUGGACAAAACUGACUCGAGACCAUUCUGGAAAAUAUUUUUUGUUUUUUAACAAAUAUUAAUAUUUCUCAUAAUGUUUGUGAUUUUACCAAAUCUCUGAUCGUUGGGAACAUUUACUAAUUUUCGAUCAAAAAAGUUGGGAACAUAUACUGAUCGUCUUCUUCAAGAGAUUACAGAUAUGGCCUCUACGCGUCCCAGUGGAUCUAUAUCCCACAACAAUAAACGGUCAUCAUCUUCUGAACAGAAUAUCUCUCACAGAAGCGUCCAGAGGUCCGAAAAUGUUUGACGCUUGACAAGCUAGGUGGAGGUUUGGAAAGGAAGCGGGUCAAACUAAGCAAAUAAGAAGGAAAAGCGUACUUCGGAUGCGAGGUGAUUGCCAAGAUUGCCCGGAUGAAGAUCAAGCUCGAUGAGGAAUCGAACACGAUAACAUACAAGCUUCCGUGCGACGUUUCGUCGUAUCUUUUAAACGACGAAUUCAAUUACAUUAAGUUGUAUAGUUUUGAAAUGUUGUAACAUGUUGGAAUGUUAGUAUGAAAAGUUUUUGUAAAGUCACAUUUUAGCAUUAAAAUGUGUAUAUAUUUAAUAAAAUCUUGAUUAAAUUAGAAUGAGUGUUACAAGUUGGUAAUCAGAGCCCAAGGUUAAAAGAAUAAAGUGUUCGGUUCGAGGCUUGAUCGCAAAUCCGUUGAAGGACACUCGCAUCUGAAGAUGACGAGAGUUGAAUGAAUUGUGGAUAUGACGGUGGAACGGUCCGAGGUAUGACAAGCUGAGCACACUCAUUGAGGACCUAAAUCGCGUGAUGAUCGCGAACAAAGUUCACGGCAAGAGAAUCCCGUUAGGGCAAGCAUUACCAGUUUGACGCUUGACAAGCUAGGUGGAGGUUUGGAAAGGAAGCGGGUCAAACGAAGCAAAUAAGACGGAAAAGCAUACUUCGGAUGCGAGGUGAUUGCCAAGAGUGCCCGGAUGAAGAUCAAGCUCGAUGAGGAACCGAACACGAUAACAUACAAGCUUCCGCGCGACGUUUCGUCGUAUCUUUUAAACGACGAAUUCAAUUACAUUAAGUUGUAUAGUUUUGAAAUGUUGUAACAUGUUGGAAUGUUAGUAUGAAAAGUUUUUGUAAAGUCACAUUUUAGCAUUAAAAUGUGUAUAUAUUUAAUAAA
Molecule: long non-coding RNA, 2108 nt
Filed under: Helianthus annuus (common sunflower)
Lineage: Eukaryota; Viridiplantae; Streptophyta; Magnoliopsida; Asterales; Asteraceae
Description: hypothetical non coding rna
Source: RNAcentral